GGCGAACCGACCGAACGUUAUUCGGAAUUACUGGGCUUAAAGGGUGCGUAGGCGGCCUUGUAAGUCAGAUGUGAAAUCCCACGGCUCAACCGUGGAACUGCGUUUGAAACUACAAGGCUCGAGGGAGAUAGGGGUGAGCGGAACUGAAGGUGGAGCGGUGAAAUGCGUUGAUAUCAUCAGGAACACCGGUGGCGAAGGCGGCUCACUGGGUCUCUUCUGACGCUGAGGCACGAAAGCUAGGGGAGCGAACGGG
Molecule: unclassified non-coding RNA, 253 nt
Filed under: uncultured Pirellulaceae bacterium
Lineage: Bacteria; Pseudomonadati; Planctomycetota; Planctomycetia; Pirellulales; Pirellulaceae
Description: contains 16S-23S intergenic spacer region
Rfam family: Bacterial small subunit ribosomal RNA
Source: RNAcentral